Molecule: ribosomal RNA, 119 nt
Organism: Gossypium raimondii (Peruvian cotton)
Lineage: Eukaryota; Viridiplantae; Streptophyta; Magnoliopsida; Malvales; Malvaceae
Source: Rfam
GGGUGCGAUCAUACCAGCACUAAUGCACCGGAUCCCAUCAGAACUCCGCAGUUAAGCGUGCUUGGGCGAGAGCAGUACUAGGAUGGGUGACCUCUUGGGAAGUCCUCGUGUUGCACCCC